RNAcentral lists this ribosomal RNA (352 nucleotides) under uncultured bacterium. RNAcentral describes it as "bacterial SSU rRNA". It matches the Rfam family "Bacterial small subunit ribosomal RNA", at positions 917 to 1271 of the family's 1533-position model. The record is from RNAcentral.
GGGUCCGCACAAGCGGUGGAGCAUGUGGUUUAAUUCGAUGAUACGCGAGGAACCUUACCAGGGCUUAAAUGUAAGUUGCAUAAGCUAGAGAUAGCUUUUUUCUUCGGACUACUUACAAGGUGCUGCAUGGUUGUCGUCAGCUCGUGCCGUGAGGUGUCAGGUUAAGUCCUAUAACGAGCGCAACCCCUGUUGUUAGUUGCCAUCGAGUAAUGUCGGGAACUCUAACAAGACUGCCGGUGCAAACCGUGAGGAAGGUGGGGAUGACGUCAAAUCAUCACGGCCCUUACGUCCUGGCUACACACGUGCUACAAUGGCCGGUACAGAGAGCAGCCACUACGCGAGUAGGAGCGAA